Long non-coding RNA from Siniperca chuatsi (mandarin fish), 4412 nucleotides. RefSeq lists it as uncharacterized. Lineage: Eukaryota; Metazoa; Chordata; Actinopteri; Centrarchiformes; Sinipercidae. The record is from RefSeq and is a predicted model, not a curated record. The transcript has 2 exons.
CCUCUGCUGUCACUAACUCCCCCUUGUGGUCUGAUCAUAGCGCUGCUAUUUGGAGCCCGGGUCCCUCUAGUGCCACUUUUAAAAUUCCUGUGGUAAUUUUGCAUAGGUCCUUAAUACGGAACAGACGCAGCCGAUACAGAAAUAAUGAUAACUUAAUAAAGAUCCGGGCCAGAACUCUACUUCCAGUCUCAACUUCAGCUCUAACUCAGCACAGACUUUUUAAGAUGGCUCUUCUCAAUGUAAGAUCCCUCUCUAACAAAAGAUUUAUUUUAAAUGAUUUUAUCUCUUCUACUGAUUUAGAUUUUAUGUUUUUAACAGAAUCCUGGUUACGUCCUGGUGACUGCUUUAGUCGCCCUAGGGAUUGUGGUCGAGGUGGGGGCCUUGUUACUGUCUAUAGGAAGCAUUUAAAGUGUAACCUCAUAGCUUGCAAUGAUUUUUCCUCCUUUGAAGUGCUCAUGUUUAAACUUGGUGGCCCACUCCCGGUCAUAUUUGCUUUUAUUUAUCGCCCCCCUAAACCAGCUGGCUCCUUCUUGUUGGAACUCCCUGAGUUUUUAUCCAGUCUUGUGUUAAAUUAUGAUAGAAGCCUCACUACAUAAAGGACACACUAUGUCCUGCAUUGACGCUGAACAUUGGCAUUGAUGUGCUCAAUCGUUCAACAUGGAUGUUAUUACUAGGAUACUGGGCUGUCAGCUAAUGAGAAAUAUUUGAAGAAUUUACUAAUCCUAAUCUGCACAUUGGUUAUUGAGCAGAGCACUAUUUUUCAAGCACGUGCUGUCAUGACUGACAGGUUUAUCAUUACAGCUAAUAGCAGAAUAUAUACCACAGCUAGGUCUGUCUGUUACUUUAGGACAUGUACUUACUGAGCUCACAAUGUCUGGAGAGGAUUAUGACAGACGUAUGACUACUUGAUAAUUCCUCAACUGUUGUUUUUCUGAGACUCAACAUUCACUUGUUGAAUAGAAAAACCCUUUGAGACAAAGAGUGAUUUUGUAUUCUUGUAUCCUUCUACUCUUAUAGCAUAAAGUUUGGUCACUGAGCUGUGGCAUUAACUUGUAUUCUAACAAGAUUAAAAUAUAUUUGUCCUGGAGAUUAGCAUAGUUAAGUGUCCCUUUUUUUAUUUGGCUUUUGGGGCGGCUGCAGCAGGCUUUGAUCAGUGUAGCGCGGCGAGGCCCAGGCUUGGCCUGGCCAUCCGAGGCCCGGGUGUGAAAUUGGUCUGAUGUCAUCCCCCAUUCUCCACCUUCACCAGCUUUUAGCAGGCGUAAUUAUAUUUCCGCCACAAAGCCCCCGUCCCCUUCAUUCCAUAUUCCAAGUUUGACUAGGAAGCAUUUAGAGAACUAUGGCUAAAUUACUCAGUGGGGGGAAGGGGGACUGGAUGGGCCGUCUUUUGUCUGACAGAGACACAUGGGACAUCAAUACUUUGUGAUAUGUACUUUUCUUUCCUCUGCUCGUUUGCCCUUUGCCUCUGCAUGUUGGAGAGGUUAAGUUUAUGACAAGCGGAUAGAUGAACUCUGCUUUUAGCCGGAAAACCACAGGACCUGUUGCUGAAAUGUUACCAUAGACAGAUUUAGCAACAUUUGACGACUGUCGUGGUUUUACUGUUGCCACUCUCUUUUGAGAAAUGUACAUUUUGAACUCCAGAAUAAUUCCAACAUAAUAAGCGCAUGCAGAUUGAUUCUGUCGUUAGCUGUAUUUAAGCUUUUUGGCUAAAUGGAUUUCAGACUUGGAAUAGACAGGCAGUGAUAGUUUGUCUGAAGUUGGUGGUUGGUUUUGACUUGCAGUACAAACUUGUACUGAAUGGUGAUUUUACGUUGUUCCUAAUGAUGCCCCAAAGCAUGGAAUUUCAUUCUAGAACGUGGGAUCAGUAUGUGACAUGAACUAAUCUCGACUCAAGUGCUGAUGAAGACUAUGAGAUGCAAUUGAAAGCUCUGAAAAAGCUAGUAAGUGGACCUUGAGUUGAAAUUAUUUUCCUACACAUCGCCAGAGAUUUUUAAAGGAAAGAGAGGACAUGCCUUCACAGAUCUUCAUGUACCUUACAGCAGAAAAAAGCAAAGCGCACCCUGCCCUCAGAGUUAUUUUGGAGAGAGCACCAAAAAUAGCAAAGAAACACUGACUGUAGUUUGCAACAGCACUAGCAAGCGUAUUCAUUCUGCAACUAUGAGAGGUGAUAAUUGAACAUCUUUUCAAUACAGCUCAAUAAAACAAGUCUUAUCAUAAGAGAAUGAUUCUAUUUUUGUGAGAACGUGUAAAAUGAUAUAAUGUAUAAUAUAAUAUGACCGUUUUCAGCCCUCUAGAGUGGAAACCAAAUUGAAAACCACAUCCCAGAAUCCUGCUGGUGUGGAUUUACAUCCGGUGCCAAUGUUCAGUGGAAACUCAGCAAGAAGUGUGCCCUUUAUGUGGUGAGGCAGAGAGCAAAACACAAAUUGAGUGAUCAGUAUGCUUCAAACACGGUCUUUGUCCUGAAAUUGGGGGAGUUAGCUGCAUCAGACAUAUUUUGUAACUUUGAAAAUGAAAACCUAACAAGCAGACCCACUUCUCACAGUGAUUGAGCAGGUGUGCAGAGGUGUGAAAGGAGGCGGGGUUUUCAUGUGAACAACCGAGUGCAACAUUAUGAAUGCCUUUUAGGAGAGAAAGUGUGCACCGUUAUCCCCAUUCGAAGCGUUCAUCGCGUUGAGACUACAAAGAAACCCAGAAUUGUUGAAGAGAGAUUGGGGAGGCGGUGGGAAGCAUGAGGAGGCUGUGACGGCUAGCUUUUUUUACCUUAACCGCAAUCUUUUACUUACCUGAACCGUAGUAGUUGUGACAUUGGCAACCAGGCAACAGAAGAAUGGAUUUAGUCCAAAAGGUUUGAUCGUGUUUUUUAUAGAGGUUGUAUAUGAAAAUUGUUGACAUUUGGAAAGUCACAAAAAGCUUUUGGAUCAGAACCACCAGAAGAAUAAAUCUGAGAAACUGAUUUUUAGAUUUAAAAAGUGUUUUAAUUUAAACAGCAUAUAACUGAUAUAAAAUAUAACAUCAGGGCCAUGAUGAAAACAAGUGAAAGUCCCCUGACCUCCACAGUGGGAACCAGAGAGGAAAAAGAUGUCCAUUUCUCACCACUUCUUGGCUGUAGUGUUGUCGCCUGCUGCUUUUUGCAUGGACACCCAAAGCAUUUUGACCUUCAUCCAGGUUCUCUGGCCAUUAUACCACCCCCCAACACCCCCAACACCCCCAGCCCUUUCGACUGACAGCCCCACACUGUGCAUAGAAACCCAGCUCGCAGCUCUUUCCCCCUUUCCUCACCCAAGUCAAGCGUAGCUCAGCUCAUCAAGUCGGCGACCGUUGGGCGUAACUUCCACAUACAAGCGAGCUAAGAAUGGAAAUGCAGAUGAGGCUCCUGCUGCCAUUCACAGAGCCCAGGUCAAUGCUGCUGCCGCUGCCAAUGGACGAGUCUCUGGCUUUCCCUCUGCUCUCCAUAUUUCUUUCUUUCGACUGUUUCUCCACCGCAGUCAGACGUUCAGGCAGGAGCCCUCGGUAUGUAUGGAUACUACGUAUUCAAAAAUGGACCGAGUUACCUCCAUAAACAUUGUCUUGAAAAUGCCCCCUGACCCGCUGCCUACACGACUUAGAGGUCGCGUAUCGUUGAUGUCCGGUGGCUCGCAGCUAUCAGCUGAUCCAGUGAAUCUGUCAUCCUGCUCAGCCGCAGCGUGGCACACGUAUGGGUGUGUUUAACCGACAUGUUUGCCUUAUCUAUGCACCUGUUCAUGACUUACAUCACUUUGACACUAUAACCUAUGGCAAUUAUUUUCUGGACCUUGGCCCCAUUGAAAGCUUGAAAAAAAAACACUUUUAACACAGUGUAGUAGGUUUUCCAAUGCUUUUAUGAACCUACAAAUGUUCUUAUCUAAUAGAGAAGCAUGUAGUCCUUCAGCUCUUCUGAAAUGUGUAAUGACCAAACGUGGAGAUGUACGUUUCCACUGAACAGCAAAGAUAACAGAGCUUUAAUCAGAUUCUUGUUAGGAAAAAAGAAGGUUACAGGCUGUAGUGCGGGGCAGCUAUUCAGUGCUGUAAAUGGCAUGCCAUCAGCCUGAAUACAGUGUUGUUAUAUUUAAUGUACACUUUGUAAGAAAAGUGGUUGGAAUAUUCUUCACGCACUUUACAGUGGCACCACAGUUAGUUCGAUGACAACCUGGCAUCACUGUACUGGUCGUGUAACUGCAUCUCUUCAAGUGCGCUGUGUGGACAGAAUGAUCGACGGCUGCUGUCCUCAGCUCGCAUUAUUCUUCUGCUAAUCAUUAUCGACACCUUUCACUAAGCCACCCGCAGACUCGUCACAUCCACUUCACAACAAAAUGAUACACGUUUUUUUCUUGUUUGUGGAACAUUUUUUCCUGAUGUGUGUUUCAGGUUAUAAUAAAAAAAUCUUCUGAAAAGUCAAA